GACGAACGCUGGCGGCGUGCUUAACACAUGCAAGUCGAACGGAAAGGCCCUGCUUUUGUGGGGUGCUCGAGUGGCGAACGGGUGAGUAACACGUGAGUAACCUGCCCUUGACUUUGGGAUAACUUCAGGAAACUGGGGCUAAUACCGGAUAGGAGCUCCUGCUUCAUGGUGGGGGUUGGAAAGUUUCGGCGGUUGGGGAUGGACUCGCGGCUUAUCAGCUUGUUGGUGGGGUAGUGGCUUACCAAGGCUUUGACGGGUAGCCGGCCUGAGAGGGUGACCGGCCACAUUGGGACUGAGAUACGGCACAGACUCCUACGGGAGGCAGCAGUGGGGAAUAUUGCACAAUGGGCGGAAGCCUGAUGCAGCAACGCCGCGUGCGGGAUGACGGCCUUCGGGUUGUAAACCGCUUUCGCCUGUGACGAAGCGUGAGUGACGGUAAUGGGUAAAGAAGCACCGGCUAACUACGUG
This 468-nucleotide ribosomal RNA is filed under the name uncultured bacterium. RNAcentral's name for it is "partial 16S ribosomal RNA". It matches the Rfam family "Bacterial small subunit ribosomal RNA", at positions 28 to 507 of the family's 1533-position model. The record is from RNAcentral.